GGAUGUGAGGGCGAUCUGGCUGCAACAUGUCACCUCAUGAUCGCCAGGGUUGAUUCGGCUGAUCUGGCUGGCUAGGUGGGUGUCCUCUUCCUUACUCACUACUCCAUAUGUGUCCCUCCUGAAGCUGUGCUCUAGAUUGAAGAAGACGACCUCCCCCCAUAGAAGAGGACUGUUCUACUCGUUCAAGGGUAUACAGGUAGCUGCACUCCUCUGCUAGAACCUCCAAACAAGAGUGGCAAUUUUACCAGUAUGUAGUUUGCCAUAAGACUCAGAAACUUU
This 279-nucleotide small nuclear RNA is filed under the name Camelus bactrianus (Bactrian camel). RNAcentral describes it as "7SK RNA". It matches the Rfam family "7SK RNA", at positions 1 to 294 of the family's 331-position model. Rfam says of the family: 7SK was discovered as an abundant small nuclear RNA in the mid-70s but a possible function has only recently been suggested. Two independent studies have found that 7SK RNA binds the CDK9/cyclin T complex (known as elongation factor P-TEFb). Lineage: Eukaryota; Metazoa; Chordata; Mammalia; Artiodactyla; Camelidae. The record is from Rfam by way of RNAcentral. RNAcentral also lists the same sequence under 2 other names.